This 815-nucleotide long non-coding RNA is filed under the name Triticum aestivum (bread wheat). RNAcentral's name for it is "long non-coding RNA (TAES_LNC019028)". Lineage: Eukaryota; Viridiplantae; Streptophyta; Magnoliopsida; Poales; Poaceae. The record is from RNAcentral.
GGAAGCAAUGAGCAGCUCCAUGGCAAGUACAAGCUAAAUUAUCUGUACAACAAGGAGAGGCUGCAAGAAGUUAAGGUUUUCAACCAAGGCAAGAAAUUCUACAUAUUCUUCUGAAUGAAGAGAUGUCGUUCCCUGUUGUUACAUUAUCGAAUAAUUGCAUAAUGCUUUGGUUUUUUAUUAUUAUGGAGAAGAUGACGACUGCCCUUGUUUUUUGGAAAAUCUGAAAUGGAUAUAUUUGACUCCAUGUCGUUAUACAAUACUUGCAAGAAGCCUCUAAUAACUUAUCUACUCAGGCUGUUAGCUGAUAGUUCUUUCCAACUAAUCCAGAAACUCAGCUUGUCAUUUGAAUGGAUUUUGUCAGUUGCAUGGUCUGUAUAUGAUGCUAGAACAAAUUACUCCAUUGUUGUGUCCUGUAAAACUGGAUAACUUUGAUCUGACAAAAACAGGUAGGAUAUAUAUGCCAAUGUUAUUGUGAGAAACUGAGAUAUCAAAUAGAUUAUGCUAAUUAUAUCUUAUAAAUAUUUUCCUAUUUCUUGUUACAUGUUUUCAAGCUCGAUUAUAUCCACUGCAGGGUAACCUUGAAAAGAAGCUUGCAACUUAAGCUACAGAAAAACAUUACAGAAAAUGAGAUCUCACGUUGUGAGUAUUUAGUUGAUGCACUUGUGUAUUUUAUGAUGUCGCACCUCUGUUUUCGUUGACUUUUGGUUCCUGUAUGUAAAUUCUAUGGAAUUGUAUGAUGUGUGACUUUGUAAAAUCUUCAUGUAAGCUAUUGAUAUUGGGCUUCUAUGUUAUAAAUAUUCUGAGUAAUUGAAAAG